This 501-nucleotide ribosomal RNA is filed under the name uncultured bacterium. RNAcentral describes it as "partial 16S ribosomal RNA". It matches the Rfam family "Bacterial small subunit ribosomal RNA", at positions 30 to 523 of the family's 1533-position model. The record is from RNAcentral.
AUUGAACGCUGGCGGCAGGCCUAACACAUGCAAGUCGAGCGGAUGAGGAAAGCUUGCUUUUCGAUUCAGCGGCGGACGGGUGAGUAAUGCCUAGGAAUCUGCCUGUUAGUGGGGGAUAACUCGGGGAAACUCGGGCUAAUACCGCAUACGUCCUACGGGAGAAAGUGGGGGAUCUUCGGACCUCACGCUAACAGAUGAGCCUAGGUCGGAUUAGCUAGUAGGUGAGGUAAUGGCUCACCAAGGCUACGACGGAUAGCUGGUCUGAGAGGAUGAUCAGCCACACUGGAACUGAGACACGGUCCAGACUCCUACGGGAGGCAGCAGUGGGGAAUCUUGCGCAAUGGACGAAAGUCUGACGCAGCGACGCCGCGUGGGUGACGAAGGCCUUCGGGUUGUAAAGCCCUGUGGGGUGAGACGAACAGCUGGGGUUCGAAUAGGGCCUCGGUCUGACGGUAUCACCUUAGCAAGCACCGGCUAACUCUGUGCCAGCCGCCGCCGUAA